AGAGUUUGAUCCUGGCUCAGAUUGAACGCUGGCGGCAUGCCUUACACAUGCAAGUCGAACGGCAGCACGGGAGCAAUCCUGGUGGCGAGUGGCGAACGGGUGAGUAAUAUAUCGGAACGUGCCCAGUCGUGGGGGAUAACGCAGCGAAAGCUGUGCUAAUACCGCAUACGAUCUAUGGAUGAAAGCGGGGGAUCGCAAGACCUCGCGCGAUUGGAGCGGCCGAUAUCAGAUUAGGUAGUUGGUGGGGUAAGGGCCCACCAAGCCGACGAUCUGUAGCUGGUCUGAGAGGACGACCAGCCACACUGGAACUGAGACACGGUCCAGACUCCUACGGGAGGCAGCAGUGGGGAAUAUUGGACAAUGGGGGCAACCCUGAUCCAGCAAUGCCGCGUGAGUGAUGAAGGCCUUAGGGUUGUAAAGCUCUUUUGCCAGGGAAGAUGAUGACUGUACCUGGAGAAUAAGCCCCGGCUAACUUCGUG
Molecule: ribosomal RNA, 479 nt
Filed under: uncultured bacterium
Lineage: Bacteria
Description: bacterial SSU rRNA
Rfam family: Bacterial small subunit ribosomal RNA
Source: RNAcentral